CUUUGUUGUCGCGUUUGUGUGGUGUAAAGAUUUGAGUUAUUCUGAAUUUUUAAUGAAUUAAUAAUUUGAUUUGCCAUCUUCAAAGAAAAAAAGUAGAUAUAUUCAAAACUUAAUCUUUUAUCUUCAAUUUUUAAAUCAUAAUCCAUUGUACAGCAUUUUGGACCAUUAAGAGCUGGGCAAGACAACCAAACCGUGCAAUGGUGCUGAAAGUACCAUUAUUGUAAUCUGGACUUCUACAGUCCAUUUGAGGGUGUAGUUUUCCUCCCUAAGGGCGUUGUAACGGACAUAAAUUAAGGCUUAGAAAUAAGAACGUCAC
RNAcentral lists this long non-coding RNA (316 nucleotides) under Mytilus galloprovincialis (Mediterranean mussel). The record is from RNAcentral. Lineage: Eukaryota; Metazoa; Mollusca; Bivalvia; Mytilida; Mytilidae.